This is a long non-coding RNA of Helianthus annuus (common sunflower), 1305 nucleotides long. RefSeq lists it as uncharacterized. NCBI's taxonomy places the organism in Eukaryota, Viridiplantae, Streptophyta, Magnoliopsida, Asterales, Asteraceae. The record is from RefSeq and is a predicted model, not a curated record. The transcript is spliced from 2 exons.
AUCAAAUUUUGAAAUUCUCCAAAUACACCUCACCUGCCACCAUUUUCUUCGUUCAUUCUGCACAUUGAGAGUAGCAAGCGAUAGAGACACUCAUUUUCACCAAAUUUUGACCCACUGAUGUCACCGUCAUCGUUGUACGAGUGCUCCAAUUGAGAUGAUACUUACAAAUUUCGACGGAUCCAGAGUUGGAUUCGGUUGUGGUUACGAGGUUGAACAACGGCGGUGACAUCUUAGAGUGUUCAGAUCUAGGGUUCCGACAAAAACGGAGAGAGUUACAACUUCCGGUGGUGAAUGUUUAAGAUCCUACAACUAUCAGAGGAGAGGAGGAUCGAACCUUCCAACCAAGUUCUGUUGAAGAUUUCGGCAACUCCAGUAAGGUUGUUUCACAAUUUUAUUAUAGUUUUUUUUUUGUAUUUGGUUAAUGUCUUGAGUUUAAUAGAAGAUAUAUGGUUUCUUAUUAAACCGAAGUUGGUUGUGUUAAACACGGUUUGCAUUUUGAUUGUCUAAUUUAGUUUCUUGAUUUUUUUUGUUAUUAUAUGUUUUGAUCUGAUAAUUCUAUCAAUCUUAGCUUUUAUAACAUUGACAAUCUCACAAUUUUACAAAAAGGAUGAUGAAAGCACGAAGUUAUGAAAGUUAGGAAUAAGAAAUAAUUUGAAUGAUUAUCAUAUAUGUUUGAGGUAAUUGUUUCUUGUUUGCAAUUGCAUACUCAAACAAAUGAGAUGGUUCUUGCUAUGUCUUAGGUGCAUGUCAUCAGGAUUGUUAAUUUGGGUGUAGAAAAAGCACCUUCUGGUCUACUCCUACAUGGACACUUUAUGAUGACAUUACCCGAUCUUAUUAUUUUACAAAUUUAUAAUAGUAAAAUCGGUACCAAUCAAUUGACAAAUUGUAGAAUUCAUGGCUACCUUUUUCAUUAAAUAAAGCAGGUGCCACUCGAUUAAAAAGAAAAGAAGAAUUGCUGAGGUUCUUGUAUCUAAUUAUGUAUUAUAUAUUGAUUCAAUUUUCUUUUUCUUUUAAUUAUGACUAACAAUUGUUACAUUUGAGUCCCAUGAUUCCAUGCCAUUUGAGAGAGUCAUAAUCAGAGUUAUGUAGAUGAAGUAAAGCCUUUCAAAGUUCUAUAAUAUCAUGACUUUGUUCCAUUAAAUUUGAUUUUAUUUUUAAUGUUCUUUUUUCCAAGUGAUAUGUGUGAAUUGGUUCUCAUAUCAAGCCUCAGAGCAAUCACUCCUUAUUAUUUUUACAUGUUAUUUAAUUUCAUGUACAGAUGUGCUUUAUUAUUACGAAGACAGUCGCAUGUUAUCUCCUGUUUUU